AGCUACAACUGACUGCUUGCCAUUGCUGUAGUGUAAUGUCUAUUAGGACCUAACAGCAUUGGAAUGAAUCUGCCUCUCAGUGUGUCCUAACCUAUUCAAGAUCCCAGCUGCAGUGAGCUUGCAGGAUAGAAGAUUUCUGUGUGACAAAUAGAUCUCAAGUCUGCUUUUGAAGAGGACAGCUGUUCAGAACUCUCUCUAAAAUGGCGGAAGCUCAUCAAGCAGUAGCUUUUCAAUUCACAGUAACUCCAGAUGGGAUUGACCUGCGAAUGAGCCAUGAGGCACUCAAACAAAUUUACCUAUCCGGUGUCCAUUCAUGGAAGAAAAAGUUCAUCAGAUUCAAGAAUGGAAUUAUCACUGGUGUUUAUCCUGCUAGCCCAUCUAGCUGGCUUAUUGUAGUUGUGGGUGUGAUGUCAACAAUGUAUGCCAAAAUUGAUCCUUCUUUAGGAAUAAUAGCUAAAAUCAACCGAACACUUGAUACAACUGGCUAUAUGUCAAACCAAACACAGAACAUCGUGAGUGGAAUACUUUUUGGCACGGGGCUUUGGGUUGCCCUUAUUGUCACAAUGCGCUACUCUCUAAAAAUGCUGCUUUCCUAUCAUGGUUGGAUGUUUGCUGAACAUGGCAAACUUUCUGCAGGCACCAAGUUUUGGAUGACACUUGUAAAGCUCUUCUCGGGACGUAAACCCAUGUUAUACAGUUUCCAGACAUCUUUACCACGAUUGCCAGUUCCAGCGGUUAAAGACACAGUCAAUAGGUAUCUGGAAUCGGUUCGGCCACUUAUGGAUGAUGAAGAGUUCAGAAGAAUGGAGGGUCUUGCCAAAGAUUUUGCAUUUAAUUUGGGACCAAGGCUUCAGUGGUAUUUGAAGCUAAAAUCCUGGUGGGCCACAAACUAUGUUAGUGAUUGGUGGGAAGAAUAUAUCUACCUUAGAGGACGUGGACCAAUUAUGGUUAAUAGUAACUAUUUUGCAAUGGACUUCCUUUAUUUAUCUCCCACAACCCUGCAGGCAGCUAGAGCUGGUAAUGUUAUCCAUGCCAUCCUGCUCUAUCGGAAAAAACUGGACAGACAAGAAAUCAAGCCAAUUCUUCUGAUGGGAUCUACUGUUCCACUCUGCUCAGCUCAGUGGGAGCGGAUGUUUAAUACCUCCCGUAUCCCAGGAGAGGAAUCAGAUACUCUCCAGCAUGUGAAAGACAGCAAACACAUUGUUGUGUAUCAUAAGGGCCGUUACUUCAAAGUGUGGCUGUACCAUGAUGGUAGACUGUUGAAACCCCGCGAAAUUGAACAGCAGAUGCAAAGAAUUCUCGAUGAUGAUUCAGAGCCUCAGGCUGGUGAAGAGAAGCUAGCAGCUCUUACUGCAGGAGACAGAGUACCAUGGGCUAAAGCUCGGCAGGCUUAUUUUAGCUGUGGAAAGAACAAACAGUCCUUAGAUGCUGUUGAAAAAGCAGCAUUUUUUGUGACAUUGGAUGACAUCGAGCAAGGGUACAGGAAAGAAGAUCCAGUGAGGUCACUGGAUGCAUAUGCGAAAUCCUUAAUGCAUGGCAGAUGUUAUGACAGGUGGUUUGAUAAAACAUUCACUCUUAUAGUAUUCAAAAAUGGCAGAAUGGGUCUGAAUGCAGAGCACUCUUGGGCAGAUGCUCCUAUUGUUGGACACCUGUGGGAGAAUGUAAUGGCAACUGAAUAUCUUGAACUGGGCUAUUCAGAAGAUGGGCAUUGCAAAGGAGAUAUCAAUCAAAAUAUUCCUAUUCCUACCAAAUUACAGUGGGAAAUCCCAGAAGAAUGUCAAGAAGUGAUUGAGAGGUCUCUGAGCACUGCUGUAGCUCUGGCAGAUGAUGUGGACUUCCAUUCAUUUUUCUUUGGUGCUUUUGGGAAGGGACUAAUAAAGAAAGCUAAAACCAGUCCUGAUGCCUUCGUGCAGCUUGCCCUCCAGCUUGCUCACUAUCGGGACAUGGGAAAAUUUUCUUUAACAUAUGAAGCCUCUAUGACACGCUUGUUCCGAGAAGGGAGGACCGAAACUGUUCGUUCGUGUACUGUUGAAUCAUGUAAUUUUGUUCAAACCAUGGAAGACCCAACUGAAAGUAAUGAAAAUAAGCUUAAGUUCUUUCGGCUUGCUGCUGCCAAACAUCAGCACUUGUAUCGUCUUGCCAUGACUGGUGCUGGCAUUGACCGCCAUCUGUUCUGCCUUUAUGUCGUGUCAAAGUACCUUGCUGUAGAUUCUCCUUUCCUUAAAGAAGUUUUGUCAGAGCCUUGGAGGCUGUCAACGAGUCAGACGCCACAGCAACACAUUGAUUUAAAGAAAAACCCUGAGAUGUUAUCCUGUGGUGGAGGAUUUGGACCGGUGGCUGAUGAUGGUUACGGUGUUUCUUACAUUAUCUUGGAUGAAAAUUCCAUCCAUUUCCAUGUGUCCAGCAAAAUAUCUUGUCCUGACACGGAUUCUCAUCGUUUUGGAAAAAACAUCCAAAAAGCAAUGGUUGACAUCAUGGGUUUAUUUAACCUUAGUAAAAACUGUACCAAGUGAUUUGCCUUACUGGUGCCAAGCAAUCUCCUGUUGUUGGGAUGAGAACUCUUCUGAACAGUGAAUGAGAGCAAGGUUUGUCAAACGGUAGGCGGUGAAGAAACUGAGUCAACGUUGUCUUGAUCACCUAUGAAAACCUUAGCGGUGUAUCAAAUAUUUCAUUAUUUUUUCAGUAGUUUGGAAGAGUUUAUUUCCACAAAGGAUGACUUGUGAAAUCUUGUAUGUUUCUAGGGAUGAAGUAUAGUAUCAUUGCAUGAAGUCAUGUAUAUUCUAACUUGUGCAGUUUUCUCUUAAUUUCUAUACACUUGCUCUUUUUUUUUUUUUACUUAAUAGUCUACUUGUAUUCCAGAAUCCAAGUGAUAAAACAUGCCGUCUUAAACUCAAAUACUAGGAAAAGUUUGAUUUGCUAUGUAUUAAUAGCAGAAUGUUCUUCAAUGUAUCUGCUGCUUUAGGUCAAUGAAUGACAAGACUUGUGGCCGUUUACCUUCUUUGUUUUUUGGGGGGUUUUGGGGGGGGAAAAAAAAAACUCACAGUGGGUUUUACUACAUUGGGUCAUAAAAUGUGUCACCUAAUUAGCAGGUAUUACAUAUUUCUUAUUACUUACAAACAUAACAUGUUUGCCACAUUGUUAUUUUAUUCCUGUAUAAAAAAAUGGACCUGUGUGCUUGUUCAUGAGAGUGCCUUAAAAAAAGAAAGAUCCUAAACCCAGGAAAAAAGCUUAUGCUGGGAGUUGGUUUUACAUUGUCUAAGUGGUGAAGGUAGUAGUAAUGCAGAUCUAGUUUUCAAAUUAUAAAUUAGGUUGAUGUGGCAUAAGUAGACUUGAAUAUAUUGCCGUAGGGUGCAGUUAGGUUUAAAGCUCUAAUGACAUACUCCCAUCUUAAAUGGCAAAGACCAGUCCCUAUGAAAUGCAGGAGUAACUUUGUUUCAGAGCCACAGAUACUCAUGUGUUUGUUUUGGUGAAUGGUAUUGGUGGUCAUUUGAGACAAGAGUUUCUGGGCCCCACGGAGUGUCAAUUUAGUUAAAUGCAAAGCUAAUCUACAAAGCAAGGCUGCUUGUAAAGGCGGAUCAAGUGCAGUUUGCCUGCUUUCAGCCUGGAAGGACCACCACUACACAUUGCCAACCAUCUGCAUGAGAAGGGCAAACUAUUACGGCUGUGGAAAAUAGCUCCAGAAUGGGGAAAAUCCUGGCCUUCUCAAACCCCUCCUGGGAGGUGCUCUUGGUCAAGCACAGUUUCUGAUGGAUACAAGGAGGGAGGGGAAAGGUAUUUCACUCAAAAAGGAGCAUAAGGCUUCCAAGUGCAGAAAUAAAAUGGCUACUACAAAAUGGAGUAACUUUGUGUGCCAUGCUUCUCUUCCCCAGGCUUUAUAGGUGUGGUUUACUUUUUACAUCCUGCAGUGCAGUCAAGUGUACCUGUUAACGCAACUUUUUUUUUUUUUUUAAGUCAGGUACAUGGUGUUUAGUAAUGCAGGGAAUGCUGCUCCAGAGCUGUGCUGAUUUUAAAACGCUUUUGGGGUUGAUAUAAAACUUCUCAUUAGACUUUGAAUGUUUUCUGGCCAGUAUUUCUAACUUUCUAUGCCUCUUCAUGUUUUUGUUCAGUUUUAUUUGUUUUGGUUUUUUUCACUCUGAUCUAGCUAUUAAAAUACCUGUAUUUGUAUGUUUGAGGUGGGAAACCUCAGAGAUCCCAGAUGCAUACUUAAGCAUGCUUACAUAAAUGUAGAAACCCUCCCAGGAAUUGGCCAAAGACAUUUGAUUAGGUACGGUGUGUGGGAAAGGACACCUUGAAAUAAGCCUUAAUGUGUCUGGCAGGCCUGGCAUUUAUCAAAAUACUGCAACAAUUUUAUAGUGAUUUAUUCUUUUGGACCUGCAGAAAUAAUGCACUGUCUGGUUUGGGUUUGGGUUUUGGUUUUUGGUGGUUUUUUUGUUGGUUGUUUUUUUUUUUUUUUUUUUUUUAUUGACCACUGACCAAUCUGUGCUUAAAUUAACAUUAGGGCAUAUUAACUUGUAGGAUUUUCUUUAAUAAAAAACAGGUUUAGAUUUGACUCUCAGGUUUUAAAUGUUUCCAGUCUAAUUGUAGUUAGUGCAGUUAUCAAUGCAAUUUUACAUUCUUAGCGAUUAAGUAUAAUUGGCACAAAAAGCUGUUUUUUAUUGUAAAUGUUUUAAACAUUUUUGUGGUGUUAAAUGUAUCUUUUUUUUUUUUUUUAAUUUGGGGUAGACCAUAAUUCCUAAACAGAUAAGAUUUUAUUUCAUUUUCUUUAAAAUGUCAACAGCAUGUAAAUAAAAUAUGCUUUUUGGAUGUAAAUCUUAGAAAUCCACAGUGAAUGUAGGUUAUUAAUAAUUAAUUAAUUUAAAUCUUGCAGUUCGAUAUUGUGUACAUACAGUAAAACUGCUUGCUUUUUUGCUCAGAAGCCAUAGGAAUGUAAUUGAUAUGACCUAGAUUUGAAUGAACCUUCUAGUACGGUGUACUUCAUUAUAAAGUAAAAUGUUCAUAUUCCAGAAAAACCAUUAAUUUGUCACUAAAACCGUUAAUUACUUACGCUCAAUUAGUGACACUUAUUCUCAGUUAGUGACUUGAGCUCAAAGUUACGGUUCAGUAGGUGGUAAAAGUUAGGUUGGAUGAUAAUAAAUUGACCUGUUUAUUAAAUAGCAGUAUGGAAUCGGUGGAAUACCUCGAAUGUGCAUUUUCCAAAUUUCUUAUUUUGGGUAUUUCAUGCCAGAAAUUAGGAGAGUAUUAAGUGCAUUUAGAGGCUACCACUGUCCAGCAUUAACACCAUUCCAAGCUAAAUAUUCUUUUAAGGUCUGGGGUUUUUGAGGGACUAAGGAAAUGUGUGCCUGACCUUGAAAAUCAUGGUUCUAAUUCAGCCAAUUGUUUUCUUGUAUAACAUAUGUUAAUUUAAGCUAUUUUUUUAUCUUGUUCAAUUAUUCUACAUCUAUGGUUGGUUAUUUACAUCCAAUACUUUGUUUCUGUGACUUCAAAAAAUAAAAUAAAAUUUCACAAUUGCCACUACUUAGUACAAUGUUUAAUAUCUUUUGUAUCUUCUUCCCAGCUCCCUUGCUCCUGUUUUUGGACUUGUGAAAUCUUUGCUAUUAAAUCCAGUUAGGAAUGGUAGUA
Molecule: RNA transcript, 5619 nt
Organism: Egretta garzetta (little egret)
Lineage: Eukaryota; Metazoa; Chordata; Aves; Pelecaniformes; Ardeidae
Gene: CPT1A
Gene name: carnitine palmitoyltransferase 1A
Exons: 20
Source: RefSeq, a predicted model, not a curated record